Molecule: ribosomal RNA, 402 nt
Filed under: uncultured bacterium
Lineage: Bacteria
Description: bacterial SSU rRNA
Rfam family: Bacterial small subunit ribosomal RNA
Source: RNAcentral
AAUCAACGCUGGCGGCGUGCCUCAGACAUGCAAGUCGAACGCGAAAGUUCCCUUCGGGGGAUGAGUAGAGUGGCGCACGGGUGAGUAACACGUAGGUAAUCUACCUUUGGAUGGGGAAUAACAACCGGAAACGGUUGCUAAUACCGCAUAAUGCAGCGGCACCUAAUGGUGACAGUUGUUAAAGCGGGGGAUCGAAAGACCUCGCGUCUGAAGAGGAGCCUGCGGCGGAUAGCUAGUUGGUAAGGUAACGGCUUACCAAGGCGACGAUCCGUAGCCGGCCUGAGAGGGCGGUCGGCCACACUGACACUGACAUACGGGUCAGACUCCUACGGGAGGCAGCAGUCGGGAAUUUUGGGCAAUGGGCGAAAGCCUGACCCAGCAACGCCGCGUGAAGGAUGAAAU